RNAcentral lists this ribosomal RNA (459 nucleotides) under uncultured bacterium. Its description in RNAcentral is "partial 16S ribosomal RNA". It matches the Rfam family "Bacterial small subunit ribosomal RNA", at positions 338 to 795 of the family's 1533-position model. The record is from RNAcentral.
CCUACGUGUGGCUGCAGUGAGGAAUAUUGGUCAAUGGUCGGGAGACUGAACAAGCCAAGCCGCGUGAGGGAUGAAGGUACAGAGUAUCGUAAACCUCUUUUGUCAGGGAACAAAGGCGGGGACGUGUCCCCGGAUGAGUUUACCUGAAGAAAAAGCAUCGGCUACCUCCGUGCCAGCAGCCGGGGUAAUACGGAGGAUGCGAGCGUUACCCGGAUGUAUUGGGUUUAAGGGGUGCGCAGGGGGACUGUUAAGUCAGCGGUAAAAGCCAGGGGCUCAACCCCGUGCCGCCGUUGAAACUGGCAGUCUCGAGUUGGAGAGAAGUAUGCGGAAUGCGCGGUGUAGCGGUGAAAUGCAUAGAUAUCGCGCAGAACUCCGAUUGCGAAGGCAGCAUGCCGGCUCCACACUGACGCUGAGGCACGAAAGCGUGGGUAUCGAACAGGAUUAGAUACCCUUGUAGUC